Sinocyclocheilus grahami is the source of this 590-nucleotide long non-coding RNA. RefSeq lists it as uncharacterized. The transcript has 4 exons. NCBI's taxonomy places the organism in Eukaryota, Metazoa, Chordata, Actinopteri, Cypriniformes, Cyprinidae. The record is from RefSeq and is a predicted model, not a curated record.
UCAUUCGAAAAGCACUCACACACGCUGAAUAGUUUGAAGCGGGUUUCUCAACUACUGUAGCGACACAGGAACAUUUAGAACACGGCGAACAAAACCAAAACUUUACUUACAAUAAACUGGAUUAAGUCUACAAAUCCAUCCAAUUGCCAAAGUUGAAGAAGUUGGUCUUAGUGAAGUUCCUCACCUGCACACGCAGCUUGUGAGCAGCUACUGCAGACUUUAUACUGUGUUUAGCUGAUCAGCUUGUGAAAGCACAUCACGUCACACAUGCUGGAUUUGUGUGUCCCUGGAUCAAUGAGUAAUACAAGUCUCGGGGGUUUUGAGAAGAGAUUGCCUCAUAGCGAGUAUGUUCUGCCACCUCCUUCCACAGCCACGCCUGUGAAAACACAGAAGAGAACAUGUUCCUUCACUCAGUGGCUCCAAAAGAGGACAAACAGACCCUUCCUGUGGCCGUGGGCCAUGGCUUGGGCACCGUUCAGGCAUCAUGAGGCACAGCGUGUUAGUGGUAAUGUCCUCUGGUUAACUUCAAGACACACGGAAAAGGAGACAGACCCUGAAACAACAUACUGCAAACCAGAGAUGGACAGAGA